CCUACGGGAGGCAGCAGUGAGGAAUAUUGGUCAAUGGGCGUAAGCCUGAACCAGCCAAGUCGCGUGAGUGAUGAAGGUUCUCUGGAUCGUAAACCUCUUUUAUAAGGGAGUAAAGUGUGGGACGUGUCCUAUUUUGUAUGUACCUUAUGAAUAAGGAUCGGCUAACUCCGUGCCAGCAGCCGCGGUAAUACGGAGGAUCCGAGCGUUAUCCGGAUUUAUUGGGUUUAAAGGGUGCGUAGGCGGCCUUUUAAGUCAGCGGUGAAAGCCUGUGGCUCAACCAUAGAAUUGCCGUUGAAACUGGGGGGCUUGAGUAUGGUUGAGGCAGGCGGAAUGCGUGGUGUAGCGGUGAAAUGCUUAGAGAUCACGCAGAACCCCGAUUGCGAAGGCAGCCUGCCAAGCCAUGACUGACGCUGAUGCACGAAAGCGUGGGGAUCAAACAGGAUUAGAUACCCUUGUAGUC
Molecule: ribosomal RNA, 460 nt
Filed under: uncultured bacterium
Lineage: Bacteria
Description: partial 16S ribosomal RNA
Rfam family: Bacterial small subunit ribosomal RNA
Source: RNAcentral